RNAcentral lists this ribosomal RNA (341 nucleotides) under uncultured bacterium. RNAcentral describes it as "partial 16S ribosomal RNA". It matches the Rfam family "Bacterial small subunit ribosomal RNA", at positions 338 to 676 of the family's 1533-position model. The record is from RNAcentral.
CCUACGGCGUGCAGCAGUGAGGAAUAUUGGUCAAUGGGCGCGAGCCUGAACCAGCCAACUAGCGUGAAGGAUGACUGCCCUACAGGUUGUACACUUCUUUUAUAAAAGCAUAAAGUGAUGCACGUAUGCCUUUUUGUAUGUACUUUAUGAAUAAGGAUCGGCUAACUACGUGCCAGCAGCCGCGGUAAUACGGAGGAUCCGAGCGUUAUCCGGAUUUAUUGGGGUUAAAGGGAGCGUAGAUGGGUUGUUAAGUCAGUUGUGAAAGUUUGCGGCUCAACCGUAAAAUUGCAAUUGAUACUGGCAGUCUUGAGUACAGUUGAGGUAGGCGGAAUUCGUGGUGU